GCGCUCUUAGUUCAGUUCGGUAGAACGCAGGUCUCCAAAACCUGAUGUCGUAGGUUCAAAUCCUACAGGGCGUG
RNAcentral lists this transfer RNA (74 nucleotides) under Angiopteris evecta. RNAcentral describes it as "tRNA-Trp". It matches the Rfam family "tRNA". From Rfam's summary of the family: Transfer RNA (tRNA) molecules are approximately 80 nucleotides in length. Lineage: Eukaryota; Viridiplantae; Streptophyta; Polypodiopsida; Marattiales; Marattiaceae. RNAcentral also lists the same sequence under 6 other names. The record is from RNAcentral.